UGGGGGAUCGUCUAAUGGUAGGACAGCAGACUCUGACUCUGCCUGUUGGGGUUCGAAUCCCUAUCCCCCAGCCA
RNAcentral lists this transfer RNA (74 nucleotides) under Desulfobulbaceae bacterium. RNAcentral describes it as "tRNA-Gln". It matches the Rfam family "tRNA". Rfam says of the family: Transfer RNA (tRNA) molecules are approximately 80 nucleotides in length. RNAcentral also lists the same sequence under 2 other names. The record is from RNAcentral. Lineage: Bacteria; Pseudomonadati; Thermodesulfobacteriota; Desulfobulbia; Desulfobulbales; Desulfobulbaceae.